This 524-nucleotide ribosomal RNA is filed under the name uncultured bacterium. RNAcentral describes it as "bacterial SSU rRNA". It matches the Rfam family "Bacterial small subunit ribosomal RNA", at positions 8 to 526 of the family's 1533-position model. The record is from RNAcentral.
AGAGUUUGAUCCUGGCUCAGGAUGAACGCUAGCGGGAGGCUUAACACAUGCAAGUCGAGGGGCAGCACGGGUAGCAAUACCUGGUGGCGACCGGCAGACGGGUGAGUAACGCGUAUGUAACCUACCCUGUACAGGGGGAUAACCCGGAGAAAUUCGGACUAAUAUCCCAUAGAAAUAUUGGAAGGCAUCUUUUGAUAUUUAAAGUUCCGGCGGUACGGGAUGGGCAUGCGUAACAUUAGCUAGUUGGUAAGGUAACGGCUUACCAAGGCUUUGAUGUUUAGGGGUCCUGAGAGGGUGGUCCCCCACACUGGUACUGAGACACGGACCAGACUCCUACGGGAGGCAGCAGUGAGGAAUAUUGGUCAAUGGGCGCAAGCCUGAACCAGCCAUCCCGCGUGCAGGAAGACGGCCCUAUGGGUUGUAAACUGCUUUUCCAGGGGGAGAAACUUGCGCACGUGUUGCGCAAUUGACGGUACCCUGGGAAUAAGCAUCGGCUAACUCCGUGCCAGCAGCCGCGGUAAUAU